Molecule: long non-coding RNA, 979 nt
Organism: Aphis gossypii (cotton aphid)
Lineage: Eukaryota; Metazoa; Arthropoda; Insecta; Hemiptera; Aphididae
Exons: 3
Source: RefSeq, a predicted model, not a curated record
UAAUAAUAAUAAUAAUAACAAUAAUAAUUAUUAACAAUAUACAAACAAAAUCAAACGUUUGGAAACUAAGGACGGACAGUCAAAAAGUAUAAUAUGUUACGAAAAUCGUAAACAAUUUCAGAAAUACAAAUAUUUGAAUUCUAUCAGUCACAGUUUACGCCAUUAUUUGUCUAUUGCAUGUUUAAAGUAUUACCUUGUGUUAUGUUUAUAUUUUCAAAUGGACAGACUUAUUUACUGAUUAGUCUGCAGGCUUCAUGAUUUCUCAAGACUUAGGCUACAUAGGAACAUCGAAAAUUAGUGACUACAACAGCGAAUUUUCAAUUCUAUAUUUUUUUUUCAACUUAUUUGAUUCAACAUUUUCCUUACAUUAAGCUGAAAUGAAUACUAUUUGAAGGACUAUAAUCAUUAAAAUAAUAUAAUUAUAUUGAAAAAUAAAAUUAUAAACAUUAUAAGAUUUACACUGGGAUAAAAUCGAAGAGGUAUGUACUAUGUAUAGUAUUCAAGUAUACCUAAUACAGCAAAUACAGCAAAAAACGACCGGUUUGAAAUUAAUUUUGUGACUAAUUCAGUAAUUGUAUACGUUGUUAUACACAGCGUAUGAAGACGUUUAGACCAAUUUAUUACAUAUUAUAAACUAUAAAUAACAUUUUUCAUAGAAUUUUUCAAUUUUAGGAAUGACAAACAGUUUCGACACGGCUGAAAAGUGACUGACGACUGUGAUUACCUAACGUUUAUGUUAUAAAUUAUAAUCUAAUUUAGCGGAAAUACGAUUUUUUUAAAUCAUGGCACUGUUAUUUCCACAAAAAUUUUACGAUUCUUAUAGUUACAUCACUAAAUUACAACAAGAAAAUAAUAUUAAUAUUAAAAUGAAAUAGCAGUUAUUUUUCAAUAUUAGAUACAAUUAAAAUUGUUUGAAUUAUAUUUUCUAUGUAAUGUGAUACAUCUCAAAAUUAUAUUAUGUAUGUAAUAAUAAUAAUAA